GGGAGAGCGCUUGCAUGGCAUGCAAGAGGUCAGCGGUUCGAUCCCGCUUACCUCCACCA
This 59-nucleotide transfer RNA is filed under the name Massilia sp. Root335. RNAcentral's name for it is "tRNA-Ser". It matches the Rfam family "tRNA", at positions 17 to 71 of the family's 71-position model. From Rfam's summary of the family: Transfer RNA (tRNA) molecules are approximately 80 nucleotides in length. Their secondary structure includes four short double-helical elements and three loops (D, anti-codon, and T loops). Further hydrogen bonds mediate the characteristic L-shaped molecular structure. tRNAs have two regions of fundamental functional importance: the anti-codon, which is responsible for specific mRNA codon recognition, and the 3' end, to which the tRNAs corresponding amino acid is attached (by aminoacyl-tRNA synthetases). tRNAs cope with the degeneracy of the genetic code in two manners: having more than one tRNA (with a specific anti-codon) for a particular amino acid; and 'wobble' base-pairing, i.e. permitting non-standard base-pairing at the 3rd anti-codon position. Lineage: Bacteria; Pseudomonadati; Pseudomonadota; Betaproteobacteria; Burkholderiales; Oxalobacteraceae. The record is from RNAcentral.